Molecule: non-coding RNA, 77 nt
Organism: Massospora cicadina
Lineage: Eukaryota; Fungi; Entomophthoromycota; Entomophthoromycetes; Entomophthorales; Entomophthoraceae
Source: the annotation of a GenBank genome assembly
GAGAGGGUGGAAGGCGAGUUGGUAAGGGCAUAAAGCUACCAACCUGAAGGUUGUGGGUUCGAUUCCCACCCUUUGCA